Molecule: ribosomal RNA, 467 nt
Filed under: uncultured bacterium
Lineage: Bacteria
Description: partial 16S ribosomal RNA
Rfam family: Bacterial small subunit ribosomal RNA
Source: RNAcentral
GACGAACGCUGGCGGCGUGCUUAACACAUGCAAGUCGAACGGAAGGGCCUCUUUCGGGGGGUACUCGAGUGGCGAACGGGUGAGUAACACGUGAGUAACCUGCCCUUGACUUUGGGAUAACUUCAGGAAACUGGGGCUAAUACCGGAUAGGAGCUCCUGCUGCAUGGUGGGGGUUGGAAAGUUUCGGCGGUUGGGGAUGGACUCGCGGCUUAUCAGCUUGUUGGUGGGGUAGUGGCAUACCAAGGCUUUGACGGGUAGCCGGCCUGAGAGGGUGACCGGCCACAUUGGGACUGAGAUACGGCCCAGACUCCUACGGGAGGCAGCAGUGGGGAAUAUUGCACAAUGGGUGGAAGCCUGAUGCAGCAACGCCGUGUGCGGGAUGACGGCCUUCGGGUUGUAAACCGCUUUCGCUCAUGACGAAGCUUUGUGUGACGGUAGUGGGUAAAGAAGCACCGGCUAACUACGUG